Lagenorhynchus albirostris (white-beaked dolphin) is the source of this 2560-nucleotide long non-coding RNA. RefSeq lists it as uncharacterized. NCBI's taxonomy places the organism in Eukaryota, Metazoa, Chordata, Mammalia, Artiodactyla, Delphinidae. The record is from RefSeq and is a predicted model, not a curated record. The transcript has 3 exons.
UGGGACCAGGGAAGGAUGUUGAUUAUCCAGCCUCAAGGGCUGUCCAAGGGGUGGGUGGACGUCCGGCCAGUGCCCACCUGCCAGCGUGAGCCUGGAGGGUUGCACCAUGACUGGCGGGGGUCUGUGCAGUAUCUUGAUCGGAGGGGUCUCUCUGGUCCCCCUCCCCAUCCCUGAUUUCUCUCCUCCCGGUGGCUGGGAGCGGGGGCAGCCAGCUGCCAUGCCUGGGAUUGGGUGGCUCCGUGCCAUUUGACCUCUGGUUGGAGCCGCAUUCUCCCGUCCAGUUCCUCCAGGCACAGAAGCUCACACUCUGGGACAGGAAUCCUCUAUCUGCUUCUCAUUCAUUUUGGAAUUGGGAGGGGAAGGAGGCUGCUUAUGGGAAUUUUUAGGAACCCACCAGGCAGCUUGGCGCCCCUGAGGCUGCAGCUCUGUCCAGCCAGCACCUGCCCUGCAAACUCUAAAGACAGGCCUGGCUUGCUCAGCUGCCCAGAUGCCUCCCCCACACCGGGGGUGGCCUGUCCCUCUUCUGGCUCCUCUGUGAAGAGCCACCUCCAUGGCAUCACCCAGGAGCGUAAAGCCAGCUGGCGGUGCCGGGGAGGUGGCCAGUGACCCGGACAAAACCCAGAGAAGCUGGACUUGACCAGCACGGGCUCCGCUCUCCCCUCCCUUUCUCCUGGAGGGUCCCCAGCAUCUCCUAGACCUGAGGACACUAAGUGCCCACGAAGACUUGCAGGGACCUCCCCCCUCCCCCUUCCCACAUCGAGAAGAGAACGUUUUAAAAAUGUUUUUAUUUAAUUAAAAAAAAGACAGAACUAACAACCCAAAACCAGUAGUUGGUACGGGAUUCACAGGGGCUUAACUGGCGAGACACACAGGGGCGGGAUGGAGAGGGCGUGAGGUCGGGGGAGUGUGAGGGCCACAGGCCACCCGGGGCCCCCGUGGGCGCAGGUCUCAGAGCGAGGGCAGGCGGGGAGGGGGUGACCAGAACCUGGGGCAAUGGUGGGAGAAAGGCUGUGAAGACCAUGGCGCUGAGGGAGCUCGCUCCCUGCUCUUCUGUCCCUCCUGUCGCUUCUUUCUACUUUCUUGGUCCCGAAAGUGGGCCCUGCGCUCUCUUCCUGGGACUGGGCAAGAGGUAGGAUUCAUCGGAACGCAGCUUUCUCCACGAAAUGACGGAAACUUCCAGGGCAGCAGGUGGGAAGGUGGCUUACGUGGAAGAAACGACAAGGCUGCCUGUUUUUGGAAGUGACCUUGCUGGGGGAUGAGUCCCCGGAUUCCGCCCCCAACCUUCUAGCCUGGUGCGAUGGUGUCAUGGCCUGGGGAGGGGGAGGGCGGGCAGGGGCAGGCCACGAGCCCGGACACUCCAGCACUCACUGCUGUACAUGCUUGGACAAGCCACACAAAGCCAACCUCGACGGGAGGGAAGGGUUUCGAGCAGCGCGGAGGGACCCCGGCACGCGGUCACUGGGGGCGGGACGUGUGGAGGUCCCCUCUGCGGGCGGUGGAGGAUGGCGACGACCAUGACCCGGAUCUGAACUCCUGGGGCCGAGUCCGCCCAGGGGGUCCACGAGCAGGUGGCUGAGGUAAGAAUUUUCUUGUCACUUCUAAGUACGACAGCUACCGGGAUCGCAGACAACUGCUUCAGAGGGAUUACCAGGUCUCAAAAAGUAAGAAAGGAUCUGUCUUCAGAAAGCACGUGUUUAUAUAAAAGAGGCUCAGCUCCGUGUUCCAGAAAGCUGUCCCCCUGAGCCCGGACACGCUUCCACAUUCUCUGCUUGCCUCCGGAGGCGAGAAACGGUUGGAAAAACGUCAAGCUUGGAACCUGCCGCCUCCCUUCCCAGGCAGAACAUUCCAGAAGCAGAGAGGAGGAGCCUUUACCUCACGCCCAGGCCAGCAAAGACGCCCCCAAACCCCGCGGAUUCCUCCGCAGGCCUCGAUGUCCCCAGGCUGAGGGAAGCGGCCCCGGACAGCACAAAGGCCAGAGCACCAGGUGGUCACAGGCUCUCUCCUCAGCAUUGGUGUUACCUCAACAAGCAGCCGCUGCCGGAGCCAGACAGACAGAGGGAAACGGGGCAAACUUCGGCUUCUCGCCUGCGGCUCACAGACCAGAACCUUGGGUUCAAAAGCAGCUGACCAGCAUCCAAAGGCCCCUGCGGGCCCGGUCCUGCUGGAAGAAGUCGUGCACCUGCAGGAAGCCGGCCUCCUGGUCGGGGCUGUAGCUGGCAGCCGUGGUCACCUUGAGGGGCUCCCUGGACAGCGUGUACAUGGACAGCUCGCCCAUGGGAAUGGCCCCGGCGAUCUUCAGCCCCACUGGAGAUGUGUCCCUGGACGGAGAGGCCUCGGUGGACCUGGAGCUGGACCGCGAGCGCCGCCGCCGGUACCGGUAGCUCGGCAUCCUGGCGUAGGGUGAUGAGGAGGGAGCCUUAAGGAACUCCCGUUUGGUCUUAAAUCUCAACUCUUUGUUUUUCUCAAUGUAAAUGUUUACGGCCAGGACGCCCACGGUCUCAGCCACAAUGAAAGACAGGGCUCCGAAGUAAAAAGACCAGCCGUAGUUGUAAUGGUUUUU